This 301-nucleotide ribosomal RNA is filed under the name uncultured bacterium. Its description in RNAcentral is "partial 16S ribosomal RNA". It matches the Rfam family "Bacterial small subunit ribosomal RNA", at positions 509 to 809 of the family's 1533-position model. The record is from RNAcentral.
CAGCCGCCGCGGUAAUACGUAGGUGGCGAGCGUUGUCCGGAAUCAUUGGGCGUAAAGGGAGCGCAGGCGGGCAUGUAAGUCUUUCUUAAAAGUUCGGGGCUCAACCCCGUGAUGGGAAAGAAACUACAUGUCUUGAGUACAGGAGAGGAAAGCGGAAUUCCCAGUGUAGCGGUGAAAUGCGUAGAUAUUGGGAGGAACACCAGUGGCGAAGGCGGCUUUCUGGACUGCAACUGACGCUGAGGCUCGAAAGCCAGGGGAGCGAACGGGAUUAGAUACCCGUGUAGUCCCUGUCUCUUAUACA